GCCGUGAGGUGUUGGGUUAAGUCCCGCAACGAGCGCAACCCUCACUCUAUGUUGCCAUCGGGUAAUGCCGGGCACUCUUAGGGAACUGCCGGCGAAGAGCUGGAGGAAGGGGGGGAUGACGUCAAGUCCGUAUGCCCCUUAUGUCCAGGGCUACACACAUGCUACAAUGGCCGAUACAGAGGGUUCCCAACCCGCGAGGGGGAGGCAAUCCCACAAAGUCGGUCUCAGUUCGGAUUGCAGGCUGCAACUCGCCUGCAUGAAGUCGGAAUCGCUAGUAAGCGCAGAUCAGCAGGCUGCGCUGAAUACGUUCCCGGGCCUUGUACACACCGCCCGUCACACCACGAAAGCCGGUUGUACCAGAAGUCGCUGAGCCAACCGCAAGGACGCAGGCGCCGAAGGUAUGGUCGGUGAUUGGGGUGAAGUCGUAACAAGGUAGCCGUAGGGGAACCUGCGGCUGGAUCACCUCCUUAACGGAGCAGCGAGUAGGCCAGGGCGAAAGCCCGAAGUCGAAAGCUCUCACGUAGUUCGCUCGCCUCGCAUCAUCCUUGAUCUCAACUCCGAUUCUUACACGCUCGACAGGCGUCGAAGCCUGCCGAGCGCAUUUCGUGCCCUCGUCUCUCAACCCAUCGAGAGCGUUGGAGCAAGCUGUUUGACAACGGAUGUUAGUAGUGAUCGUGGGAUUCGAUGCUUCAGACCUGAUAAGAUCUGGAGCGUCAACGAAUCAACACUGGUUCAAUUUCGUCGCGCUCCGGACAGGAGAAAUCGUGUCCGGAAAGCGAGCAAGAAUUGAUUCAUUCGUAGAUUGCGCGUUGUUGUUUUUUUAUUGUUGUGCUUUGAGACAGAAAUCUGAUCAAGCGAAAGAAGGUAUGUGGGGGAUGCCUGGGUACACGGAGGCGAUGAAGGCCGUGGUAAGCUGCGAUAAGCCAGGGGGAGCGGCACACACGCUACGAUCCCUGGAUGG
Molecule: small RNA, 961 nt
Filed under: uncultured bacterium
Lineage: Bacteria
Description: bacterial SSU rRNA
Rfam family: Bacterial small subunit ribosomal RNA (bases 1-470)
Source: RNAcentral